Molecule: ribosomal RNA, 254 nt
Filed under: uncultured bacterium
Lineage: Bacteria
Description: partial 16S ribosomal RNA
Rfam family: Bacterial small subunit ribosomal RNA
Source: RNAcentral
UACGUAGGAGGCGAGCGUUGUCCGGAUUUACUGGGCGUAAAGCGCGCGCAGGCGGCAUGACAAGUAAGGUGUGAAAUCUCCCUGCUCAACGGGGGAGGGUGCAUUUUAGACUGUCAAGCUAGAGGACGGUAGAGGGGGGUAGAAUUGCUGGUGUAGCGGUGAAAUGCGCAGAUAUCAGGAGGAACACCGAUUGCGAAGGCAGCUCGCUGGGACGUUACUGACGCUGAGACGCGAAAGCGUGGGGAGCAAACAGG